GACAAGAAUCUGGGCAUUGCAGGAGGAGACCAGGGGAGAUUAGGCCUGAUCCACACCCCACCUGCCUCUCACUGACUCUUUCAGGCGCUGGAGGGCUGGUGUGAUGACAUUCCUGUACUCGGGUAGCUGAAGCCAGUCCAUCUCCCUCUCUUCUUUCCUUUCCCUCCUUCCUGUUUCUCUCCUGCCCCACCUUCCCCACCUUGCUGGUGGCCCAGAAGCACGGUGGUCCCUGGGAGGCAGCGGGAGGGCACCUGAGGCUGGGGUGUGUGACUCACCCUCCCUCCUGCCCUCCUGCCUGGGGGUUUUGGAGGAGCCUCUGAGAGCAAUCUCUGCCUGGGGGAGGACAUACGCUCCAGUCCCGAGGAGAGCUUCAAAGUCAUUGAGGGUUGUGGCUUCAACAGUGAUUUUUACAGAUGCUCAAGAUGUCCUCGCUCAUUUUCUUUGAUUAUGCUUUGAUUUAGAAAUCCAGGCUCAUUAGAUGCUGUAGAAAGAAACCUUUCCGUAAUUUAGCACCUCUUUCUAUGAGCACAUUAGUAAGAGAUGCACCUUUACACGGCGCAGGUGUGGGACCCUUGGAGGGUCUGGCUCCCUGAACAGCACCCUGGCCUUGAUUACUAUGUUAAUUUGGAAAACAGGUCAUUGGAAAUUAAAUGGCUUAAAAUAGGUCACCAAUUAUAACUCUGCAUUCUAUUAAAAUGAGAGCAUCUGAAAUCUUUAUUAGUUUAUUGUAAUUAAAGGCAAAAUAUUCAGAGUUGAAUUAUUGCCGGUUCUGUUUUGCAUCUCGGCACCACACGUCCUCUGGCGGCCUCGUGAAACGCUGUCUAGAAAGACCCUGUCCCUGCGGCACCUCGACUCAGAGUCUGUGAGAAUCGUUUUGUGACUGAAGUCCCAGCAGGACAGAAAACAAACGAAUAAUAAGCACAGUUUUUAGUCAUGAUUAAUCAAAACGAGAGAAAGUUUCAUCCAUCAGCAAAACGGCACCACUACACUGACCCCUCCUCCAGCAGCACCCACCCCGGGAGGCUUUGUUUGUCUCCGGGCUCCAGGACAGGGCCAGGAGAGCCAGCAGGUGAAGACCCGGAGUCCUCAGCCUUGAUUCCUCUCUGGCUGCAUCACAAUCCACAGCCCAGACACUCAGCUCUGGGGCUCACUCAUCUUCUUAGCGGACCACACUGAGAAUCCCCGUCGGCCUGCAGGAAAACAGAGAGAGGCUGUGCUGCCUCCACCUGGGCCUCCCGGGAGGAACCUGCUGUGUGCCCCAGGAGUCAGUACUCGAAGGUAUGCCUGCUCUCUGGCCUCCGCGCCUGCCAGCCUGGGAACCUGGACGCCGCCACCUGACCCGGCCUCCCUGGCUGCGUCUGUUUUGGAAAAGGAGUUUCUGGAGCACAGCCCUGGCCGGUUGAGCUUCCUCCGCAGCGCCCAGCGUACGCUUAGUCAUUUAUCCUUCAGCCAACCCAGCUGGCCUUUGAAGCCGGUUGCUGGUGUUAUUGCGAGAAAUCAUUUUGCACUUUAUUUUGAACAAAAGGACACGUUGCCGAAUGGGCUUCUUGCUGGCGGGAUUGCACUAUUUUUAUUGCAAUUGAGCUCCGUCGUGUGAUCCUGAGUGAAAAGCACACUCUAAAAAUAAGCUGCAGGCUGCCCCCGACUCCAGCCAACCCAGGAGAAGACGCUUCAUGUCCUGACCUUGGCACGGCCCACUCUGCCAGGGGGAUGUCAACCUUGCGACCAGGAACCCAUUUUCCCAAAGCAUCAACACCCGCCACAGGGAAACCCUCCUCUGCUCUGGCUCUGAUCAGACCCGGGAAGAAACCUCUGCCAGCCACGCCCCUCCCGUCAGGCCAGGCCAGUGUCUGAGGCUGGAGAGGGCCACCUUGUCCGAGGCUGGAGACGGGGGUCGCUCUGAGACCCAGCCUGGCUGGACUCUGACCGCUCCAAGCACCUUCAAGCUCACCUGGCCUGUGAUCGGC
Cercocebus atys (sooty mangabey) is the source of this 1967-nucleotide long non-coding RNA. RefSeq lists it as uncharacterized. The transcript is spliced from 3 exons. The record is from RefSeq and is a predicted model, not a curated record. Lineage: Eukaryota; Metazoa; Chordata; Mammalia; Primates; Cercopithecidae.